This 346-nucleotide unclassified non-coding RNA is filed under the name soil metagenome. RNAcentral's name for it is "partial contains 5.8S ribosomal RNA, internal transcribed spacer 2, and large subunit ribosomal RNA". The stretch from base 1 to 121 matches the Rfam family "5.8S ribosomal RNA", at positions 35 to 154 of the family's 154-position model. The record is from RNAcentral.
GAUGAAGAACGUAGCGAAAUGCGAUAAGUAAUGCGAAUUGCAGAAUUUCCGUGAAUCAUCGAAUCUUUGAACGCACAUUGCGCCCGCCAGCAUUCUGGCGGGCAUGCCUGUUCGAGCGUCAUUUCAACCCUCGACCUCCCCUUGGGGAAGUCGGCGUUGGGGACCGGCAGCAUACCGCCGGCCCCGAAAUGGAGUGGCGGCCCGUCCGCGGCGACCUCUGCGUAGUAAUCCAACCUCGCACCGGAACCCCGACGUGGCCACGCCGUAAAACCCCCAACUUUCUGAACGUUGACCUCGGAUCAGGUAGGAAUACCCGCUGAACUUAAGCAUAUCAAUAAGCGGAGGA